This is a long non-coding RNA of Manacus vitellinus (golden-collared manakin), 865 nucleotides long. RefSeq lists it as uncharacterized. The record is from RefSeq and is a predicted model, not a curated record. Lineage: Eukaryota; Metazoa; Chordata; Aves; Passeriformes; Pipridae. The transcript has 4 exons.
CUGAGGGGCCGCGGGGCCGCCAUUGCCGGCCCUUCUCAGCCGAGACCCCUGAGGGGCCGCCAUGGCCGCCCCUUCACAGUUCGCCCCCUCACAGUUCGCCCCCUCACAGCCGCCGCUCCCUGCUCGCUCUGGGGACACCCGGCCCAAUUUGGGGCCGCCGAGCCGCCCCCGCUCCGCUCCCGCCGGGCGCCCUUCCAGCCCUUCCCCGCGGGCUCCGCUCCCUCAGGGCGGCGCAGGAUCCCUCGUGUAAAACGCCUGAAUAAUCGUCCUCUCCCGUGGAGAGCUUGUUCCUCUGUAAUAGUCAAGCUGUUGGGAGUGUGGAGAGGCUGAGCAGUGAAUCCACCCAGACUGUCUCCCUUUGACUCUUUAGGAGGAACUUUUUGGAACAGUUCAUUUUAUAUAUGUUUAUUUGACAAAGCCCUAAAAUAUUAUAUAUCCAGUGAGUCUCCUCCUGCACAGUUUAUUUAAGUCAAGUAAACCUUUUUAAGGAGAGGAAAUGUCUAAUUUUACUCCUCACUUUUGGCCAGUGUGGGCUGUGCUGAUGGAUGAGAGGAGAGGGAGCAGGAAAAUGAAGGAGGAGAAGGAAUAAAACAUGGAAUAAGUGCUGAGGUUUUUCCCAGCAAACACACAGGGAAGGAGCUGAGCUGGGAAACGUGUUGUCAGCAUGACAUGAUCCAUCCAACAUUCCCAAAUAUUCCCAGGUACAAAAUCUUCCUCUUACACCUCACAUUUGGGCAUUAUUCUGCCCAAAGACUGGACUUUUCUGGGGUGGAUGUUCCGUGAGGGCCUGAAAACCCACGACUGGAAUGUGUUGGCUUCCUCUCCUGCUCCAAAUCUCUUCUCCAAACUCAGGUUUUUCAGCAGC